UUGAACGCUGGCGGCAGGCCUAACACAUGCAAGUCGAGCGGUAGAGAGAAGCUUGCUUCUCUUGAGAGCGGCGGACGGGUGAGUAAAGCCUAGGAAUCUGCCUGGUAGUGGGGGAUAACGUUCGGAAACGGACGCUAAUACCGCAUACGUCCUACGGGAGAAAGCAGGGGACCUUCGGGCCUUGCGCUAUCAGAUGAGCCUAGGUCGGAUUAGCUAGUUGGUGAGGUAAUGGCUCACCAAGGCGACGAUCCGUAACUGGUCUGAGAGGAUGAUCAGUCACACUGGAACUGAGACACGGUCCAGACUCCUACGGGAGGCAGCAGUGGGGAAUAUUGGACAAUGGGCGAAAGCCUGAUCCAGCCAUGCNNNGUGUGUGAAGAAGGUCUUCGGAUUGUAAAGCACUUUAAGUUGGGAGGAAGGGCAGUUACCUAAUACGUGAUUGUUUUGACGUUACCGACAGAAUAAGCACCGGCUAACUCU
Molecule: ribosomal RNA, 480 nt
Filed under: Pseudomonas sp.
Lineage: Bacteria; Pseudomonadati; Pseudomonadota; Gammaproteobacteria; Pseudomonadales; Pseudomonadaceae
Description: bacterial SSU rRNA
Rfam family: Bacterial small subunit ribosomal RNA
Source: RNAcentral